AUGAGUGAGCUCCGCGAGGGGGAGCCGUGAAAUGGGUCAGGCCUGAAAUAUGGAGCAGCCCUAAGCGGGGUACUCUUGUGCGGGGCUCUCUCAUCCGCA
Molecule: signal recognition particle RNA, 99 nt
Filed under: Mariniblastus sp.
Lineage: Bacteria; Pseudomonadati; Planctomycetota; Planctomycetia; Pirellulales; Pirellulaceae
Description: signal recognition particle sRNA small type
Rfam family: Bacterial small signal recognition particle RNA
About the family: The signal recognition particle (SRP) is a universally conserved ribonucleoprotein involved in the co-translational targeting of proteins to membranes. Archaeal SRP consists of a 7S RNA and homologues of the eukaryotic SRP19 and SRP54 proteins.
Source: RNAcentral